RNAcentral lists this long non-coding RNA (351 nucleotides) under Vicia faba (fava bean). Lineage: Eukaryota; Viridiplantae; Streptophyta; Magnoliopsida; Fabales; Fabaceae. The record is from RNAcentral.
AUGACAACUAAUCCUCCUACUAGUUCUACUCAACCAUCAUCAUCUGAUGUUCCAUAUGUGGCUUCGGCUGCUAAGAUACACAAACCAAUCGGUGAUAUAGGUCGGAAAUUUAACCAUUUGAAAGACUUGAAUAAUAAGAGGAGGGUUACAUGUGAUUUUUGUAACGAAACAUCGACCAGAGGAAUUUCAAGGGCUAAACAACAUCAAUUAGGAAUAAAAGGAAAUGUGAAGGCUUGCACUCAAACACCGGACGAUGUUAAGUUAAUUUUGCAAGAGCAUGAAGAUAAGAAAUUGGCUGCAAAGAAAUCAAUUUCAGGUGAAGUCCAUGAAGAUGAUGAUAAGGCAUCAUGA